RNAcentral lists this ribosomal RNA (2922 nucleotides) under Escherichia coli. RNAcentral's name for it is "bacterial LSU rRNA". It matches the Rfam family "Bacterial large subunit ribosomal RNA". Lineage: Bacteria; Pseudomonadati; Pseudomonadota; Gammaproteobacteria; Enterobacterales; Enterobacteriaceae. The record is from RNAcentral.
GGGUUGUGAGGUUAAGCGACUAAGCGUACACGGUGGAUGCCCUGGCAGUCAGAGGCGAUGAAGGACGUGCUAAUCUGCGAUAAGCGUCGGUGAGGUGAUAUGAACCGUUAUAACCGGCGAUUUCCGAAUGGGGAAACCCAGUGUGUUUCGACACACUAUCAUUAACUGAAUCCAUAGGUUAAUGAGGCGAACCGGGGGAACUGAAACAUCUAAGUACCCCGAGGAAAAGAAAUCAACCGAGAUUCCCCAGUAGCGGCGAGCGAACGGGGAGGAGCCCAGAGCCUGAAUCAGUGUGUGUGUUAGUGGAAGCGUCUGGAAAGGCGCGCGAUACAGGGUGACAGCCCCGUACACAAAAAUGCACAUAUUGUGAGCUCGAUGAGUAGGGCGGGACACGUGGUAUCCUGUCUGAAUAUGGGGGACCAUCCUCCAAGGCUAAAUACUCCUGACUGACCGAUAGUGAACCAGUACCGUGAGGGAAAGGCGAAAAGAACCCCGGCGAGGGGAGUGAAAAAGAACCUGAAACCGUGUACGUACAAGCAGUGGGAGCCUCUUAAUGGGGUGACUGCGUACCUUUUGUAUAAUGGGUCAGCGACUUAUAUUCUGUAGCAAGGUUAACCGAAUAGGGGAGCCGAAGGGAAACCGAGUCUUAACUGGGCGUUAAGUUGCAGGGUAUAGACCCGAAACCCGGUGAUCUAGCCAUGGGCAGGUUGAAGGUUGGGUAACACUAACUGGAGGACCGAACCGACUAAUGUUGAAAAAUUAGCGGAUGACUUGUGGCUGGGGGUGAAAGGCCAAUCAAACCGGGAGAUAGCUGGUUCUCCCCGAAAGCUAUUUAGGUAGCGCCUCGUGAAUUCAUCUCCGGGGGUAGAGCACUGUUUCGGCAAGGGGGUCAUCCCGACUUACCAACCCGAUGCAAACUGCGAAUACCGGAGAAUGUUAUCACGGGAGACACACGGCGGGUGCUAACGUCCGUCGUGAAGAGGGAAACAACCCAGACCGCCAGCUAAGGUCCCAAAGUCAUGGUUAAGUGGGAAACGAUGUGGGAAGGCCCAGACAGCCAGGAUGUUGGCUUAGAAGCAGCCAUCAUUUAAAGAAAGCGUAAUAGCUCACUGGUCGAGUCGGCCUGCGCGGAAGAUGUAACGGGGCUAAACCAUGCACCGAAGCUGCGGCAGCGACACUAUGUGUUGUUGGGUAGGGGAGCGUUCUGUAAGCCUGUGAAGGUGGCCUGUGAGGGUUGCUGGAGGUAUCAGAAGUGCGAAUGCUGACAUAAGUAACGAUAAAGCGGGUGAAAAGCCCGCUCGCCGGAAGACCAAGGGUUCCUGUCCAACGUUAAUCGGGGCAGGGUGAGUCGACCCCUAAGGCGAGGCCGAAAGGCGUAGUCGAUGGGAAACAGGUUAAUAUUCCUGUACUUGGUGUUACUGCGAAGGGGGACGGAGAAGGCUAUGUUGGCCGGGCGACGGUUGUCCCGGUUUAAGCGUGUAGGCUGGUUUUCCAGGCAAAUCCGGAAAAUCAAGGCUGAGGCGUGAUGACGAGGCACUACGGUGCUGAAGCGACAAAUGCCCUGCUUCCAGGAAAAGCCUCUAAGCAUCAGGUAACAUCAAAUCGUACCCCAAACCGACACAGGUGGUCAGGUAGAGAAUACCAAGGCGCUUGAGAGAACUCGGGUGAAGGAACUAGGCAAAAUGGUGCCGUAACUUCGGGAGAAGGCACGCUGAUAUGUAGGUGAAGCGACUUGCUCGUGGAGCUGAAAUCAGUCGAAGAUACCAGCUGGCUGCAACUGUUUAUUAAAAACACAGCACUGUGCAAACACGAAAGUGGACGUAUACGGUGUGACGCCUGCCCGGUGCCGGAAGGUUAAUUGAUGGGGUUAGCGGUAACGCGAAGCUCUUGAUCGAAGCCCCGGUAAACGGCGGCCGUAACUAUAACGGUCCUAAGGUAGCGAAAUUCCUUGUCGGGUAAGUUCCGACCUGCACGAAUGGCGUAAUGAUGGCCAGGCUGUCUCCACCCGAGACUCAGUGAAAUUGAACUCGCUGUGAAGAUGCAGUGUACCCGCGGCAAGACGGAAAGACCCCGUGAACCUUUACUAUAGCUUGACACUGAACAUUGAGCCUUGAUGUGUAGGAUAGGUGGGAGGCUUUGAAGUGUGGACGCCAGUCUGCAUGGAGCCGACCUUGAAAUACCACCCUUUAAUGUUUGAUGUUCUAACGUGGGCCCCUUACCGGGGUUGCGGACAGUGUCUGGUGGGUAGUUUGACUGGGGCGGUCUCCUCCUAAAGAGUAACGGAGGAGCACGAAGGUUGGCUAAUCCUGGUCGGACAUCAGGAGGUUAGUGCAAUGGCAUAAGCCAGCUUGACUGCGAGCGUGACGGCGCGAGCAGGUGCGAAAGCAGGUCAUAGUGAUCCGGUGGUUCUGAAUGGAAGGGCCAUCGCUCAACGGAUAAAAGGUACUCCGGGGAUAACAGGCUGAUACCGCCCAAGAGUUCAUAUCGACGGCGGUGUUUGGCACCUCGAUGUCGGCUCAUCACAUCCUGGGGCUGAAGUAGGUCCCAAGGGUAUGGCUGUUCGCCAUUUAAAGUGGUACGCGAGCUGGGUUUAGAACGUCGUGAGACAGUUCGGUCCCUAUCUGCCGUGGGCGCUGGAGAACUGAGGGGGGCUGCUCCUAGUACGAGAGGACCGGAGUGGACGCAUCACUGGUGUUCGGGUUGUCAUGCCAAUGGCACUGCCCGGUAGCUAAAUGCGGAAGAGAUAAGUGCUGAAAGCAUCUAAGCACGAAACUUGCCCCGAGAUGAGUUCUCCCUGACUCCUUGAGAGUCCUGAAGGAACGUUGAAGACGACGACGUUGAUAGGCCGGGUGUGUAAGCGCAGCGAUGCGUUGAGCUAACCGGUACUAAUGAACCGUGAGGCUUAACCUUACAACGCCGAAG